Molecule: ribosomal RNA, 468 nt
Filed under: uncultured bacterium
Lineage: Bacteria
Description: partial 16S ribosomal RNA
Rfam family: Bacterial small subunit ribosomal RNA
Source: RNAcentral
GACGAACGCUGGCGGCGUGCUUAACACAUGCAAGUCGAACGGAAAGGCCCUGCUUUUGUGGGGUGCUCGAGUGGCGAACGGGUGAGUAACACGUGAGUAACCUGCCCUUGACUUUGGGAUAACUUCAGGAAACUGGGGCUAAUACCGGAUAGGAGCUCCUGCUGCAUGGUGGGGGUUGGAAAGUUUCGGCGGUUGGGGAUGGACUCGCGGCUUAUCAGCUUGUUGGUGGGGUAGUGGCUUACCAAGGCUUUGACGGGUAGCCGGCCUGAGAGGGUGACCGGCCACAUUGGGCCUGCGAUAGGGCCCAGACUCCUACGGGAGGCAGCAGUGGGGAGUAUUGCACAGUGGGCGGAAGCCUGAUGCAGCGACGCCGCGUGCGGGAUGACGGCCUUCGGGUUGUAAACCGCUUUCGCCUGUGACGAAGCGUGAGUGACGGUAAUGGGUAAAGAAGCACCGGCUAACUACGUG